UUUCAGGAAUUUCCCGGCCCAUCCCAGAUCUUCCCGAUCCAGUAAGCUUCACGCUCAGGUUUUCUCACCCACGAGGUCAACCCCGUGUUUUCGGUCGUGGAAAGCCGACAGAGGGAGGCGACGCGACGGCGGCGACAGACGGCGGGGAAAGGAGACGGCGGCGACGACGAGAUCCUGCUCUGGCGACUGUCCCCUGUAAUUCCUCGCGCCCCCUCCCCUUUUCCCGUCUUCCCUAGCUAAGUUUCUUGGUGUCGCUGCCGUCCGCAACGGAGCUCUGGGAGCUCGCCGUCGCCUCCCUCGAGAUGGAUAACCUCUGCCACCGGUGAGUCCGUGCCAGAUCGACGCGCAGCAGCUCUUCGUCGAGGCUUUCCUCGGCAAGCACCCGCACCACAAAAGGGGCAAGCUCGCCUCCUCCUCGGCCGCUGCCAUGUAGCAGGAUUGAUAGCUUCAGCUCCGGUCAUUCAGCUCACUGCCUUUUUCUAGUUCGAACCUUGUACUGGUCCAACCUUAUUUUGUUCUGUUUCUUCUACGGUGGCUUUUCUAAACAUGGAUGUUUAAGUUAUACUCACGGCCUGUCCGGAAGUGAGUACACAAGGGAGCACAAUCGGUGGAUAAAACUAGGUGGGAAAUAAUCUUGGCAGGGAUUGUGGAGGCCUGAAUGAUCUUACUAAAGUUACUUUGUGAGCCAAGUAAAAUAUGGAGGAUUCAAUCAGCUACUCUUGAAAUAAGACUAAUCCCUGACGAGAUAUUUUGUAGAAGGAUAAAGCAAGAUAUCCUGCUCUUGCUGCAUACUAAUGUCAUUUGCAACCUCCUGUUUAGUUUAUUGGAAAGGGUAAAUUUCAAGUUUGUAACACUUUAUUUGUGAAGUUGGUUCUCAAAUAAGUGCAGUAUUCUUGUAGCUCAGAUCAUCCUUACCUGACCAAUUUCAUUGCAUAUGUCAAUUAAAUUACAAAUUAUUUGUGUGAAUUUGUUGUACGUUGCUCAGAAGAAUCUCCACACAAGUUCAAUUACUGUUUUCAGUAGUUUGGCAUACUCUCAUGCACUAAUAAUUCCCCAAAUUCAGAACCAACCUUUAUAAUUCUGUUCAAGAUAGCACAUUUUGUUUUGUGACAUGAUAUAUUGAAUAGGCUGACCAUAAUACAGUUAGAUUUACUUGGCUGCAUCGACAACACUAUCUUCUCGGCUUUUGAACUGAAGUCUUAUAUAUUCAUGCUUUAUUUGGCAGCUGCGCUUGCCUUUGCAUAUACUGAGCUAUGAAGAACAUGAGUGCAAUUAUCACAGAAUUACAAAAAGAAACAACUGAUUAACUUAAUCUCUGCCCCUGUGUUUUUAAUUUAGAGGGUCCUUUAGACUUUUGAUUAAGUACGGAGUAGCUUUUUUUUUUUUUUUUGAUAGAUACCUACAACCAGUAUGUUCAAUGAUUUACUGAAUUGUCCGGUGAUCCUUUCGGAUCCACCUGCUAUUCUGUUAAGCAUUAGUAGUUGCUGCUUUAUUCUAUCAUUGUACCAUUUUACCUUCCUGUGUUUGACAUGCUCUGUAUUCGAAAAUGCUCUGUAUUAGAUUUUUUUUAUUUGGAAUGCUAGUGAUUUCUGGAAUGAUAAUGAGCUUGUAACCCUUGCACAGAAUGCUUUCUUAGAGGCAGACUUCUGUGAGAAUGAGGUCAAGGGUGCAGUCUACUGAAGGUGCUCCAGGGUCUGAUGGUUUAUCUUUUAUUUUCUAUCAGAAGUUCUCGGAUCUUAUUAGUUCAGUAUAACUGGGCAUAGACAAGCGUACUGAACUGGGAUCUUUUUGAUUUAAGUUAUAUUCUGCUAUAGGUUGACUGUUGUAGUCUGGGUCUCCCUUCUUGGCUGGCCUUGAGCAACAUCUAAAAACUGAUUUUUGCAUCUUAUUUGACCACUGGCAGACCAUUUUGGCUAUGAUGUGCAAUAACAUUUGAAUGAUUUUCGACCGGUAAAUAGCAUGAGCGAUGGGGAGCCUGAAGCCAACUUUUGAUGGAGGUCCUUUGAUGGUGGCGGCGUGGUUUCUGGCGUUCGGCGGCGAGCGCGCCAUGACUUCUAAUGUUCUUCAAACUGCUUGAUGCUGAGUUUAUGGCGGCGGUUGCUCAUCUGUUGAGUCGAACAUUUAUUUAUAUAUGUGUUCUUGUUCGAGAAAAUUGCAUGACAUUGAGUUUAUGUAAAAAUAGAGUUUUUAAUUUACUGAUUGUCCAUUAUCAUGUUCUGGGAUGCAAAGAUUGAGUUUUUAUUAUCUGAUCUCAA
Molecule: long non-coding RNA, 2255 nt
Organism: Lolium perenne
Lineage: Eukaryota; Viridiplantae; Streptophyta; Magnoliopsida; Poales; Poaceae
Source: RefSeq, a predicted model, not a curated record